This 460-nucleotide ribosomal RNA is filed under the name uncultured bacterium. RNAcentral's name for it is "partial 16S ribosomal RNA". It matches the Rfam family "Bacterial small subunit ribosomal RNA", at positions 338 to 795 of the family's 1533-position model. The record is from RNAcentral.
CCUACGGGGUGCAGCAGUGAGGAAUAUUGGUCAAUGGGCGGAAGCCUGAACCAGCCAAGUAGCGUGCAGGAUGACGGCCCUACGGGUUGUAAACCUCUUUUAUAUGGGAAUAAAAUGUUCCACGUGUGGGAUUUUGUAUGUACCAUAUGAAUAAGGAUCGGCUAACUCCGUGCCAGCAGCCGCGGUAAUACGGAGGAUCCGAGCGUUAUCCGGAUUUAUUGGGUUUAAAGGGAGCGUAGGUGGAUUGUUAAGUCAGUUGUGAAAGUUUGCGGCUCAACCGUAAAAUUGCAGUUGAAACUGGCAGUCUUGAGUACAGUAGAGGUGGGCGGAAUUCGUGGUGUAGCGGUGAAAUGCUUAGAUAUCACGAAGAACUCCUAUUGCGAAGGCAGCUCACUGGACUGCAACUGACACUGAGGCUCGAAAGUGUGGGUAUCAAACAGGAUUAGAUACCCGUGUAGUC